UUACGGCCAUAUCACGUUGUAGCGUCAGUUCCUGUACGAUCACCGAAGUUAAGCGACGUGGAGCCUAGUCAAUAGUUAGAUAUGUGACCUCUUGGGAAUAUCGGAUCCUG
Non-coding RNA from Acanthosepion pharaonis, 110 nucleotides. NCBI's taxonomy places the organism in Eukaryota, Metazoa, Mollusca, Cephalopoda, Sepiida, Sepiidae. The record is from the annotation of a GenBank genome assembly.